CAGUCGCCACGGGAAUACGUAGGUGGCAAGCGUUGUCCGGAAUUAUUGGGCGUAAAGGGCUCGCAGGCGGUUUCUUAAGUCUGAUGUGAAAGCCCCCGGCUCAACCGGGGAGGGUCAUUGGAAACUGGGAAACUUGAGUGCAGAAGAGGAGAGUGGAAUUCACGUGUAGCGGUGAAAUGCGUAGAGAUGUGGAGGAACACCAGUGGCGAAGGCGACUCUCUGGUCUGUAACUGACGCUGAGGAGCGAAAGCGUGGUGAGCGAACAGGAUUAGAGACCCGCGUAGUCCCUGUCUCUUAUACA
RNAcentral lists this ribosomal RNA (301 nucleotides) under uncultured bacterium. Its description in RNAcentral is "partial 16S ribosomal RNA". It matches the Rfam family "Bacterial small subunit ribosomal RNA", at positions 509 to 808 of the family's 1533-position model. The record is from RNAcentral.